RNAcentral lists this ribosomal RNA (520 nucleotides) under uncultured Glomus. Its description in RNAcentral is "SSU rRNA". It matches the Rfam family "Eukaryotic small subunit ribosomal RNA", at positions 569 to 1090 of the family's 1831-position model. Lineage: Eukaryota; Fungi; Glomeromycota; Glomeromycetes; Glomerales; Glomeraceae. The record is from RNAcentral.
AGCAGCCGCGGUAAUUCCAGCUCCAAUAGCGUAUAUUAAAGUUGUUGCAGUUAAAAAGCUCGUAGUUGAAUUUCGGGAUCAGUUCGUUGGUCGUGCCACCGGUACGUACUGGUCUCACUGAUUCCUCCUUCCUGAAGGACCGUAAUGCCAUUAAUUUGGUGUUGCGGGGAAACGGGACUGUUACUUUGAAAAAAUUAGAGUGUUUAAAGCAGGCUAACGCUUGAAUACAUUAGUAUGGAAUAAUGAAAUAGGACGAUCGAUCCUAUUUUGUUGGUUUCUAGGAUUGACGUAAUGAUUAAUAGGGAUAGUUGGGGGCAUUAGUAUUCAAUUGUCAGAGGUGAAAUUCUUGGAUUUAUUGAAGACUAACUACUGCGAAAGCAUUUGCCAAGGAUGUUUUCAUUGAUCAAGAACGAAAGUUAGGGGAUCGAAGACGAUCAGAUACCGUCGUAGUCUUAACCAUAAGCUAUGCCGACUAGGGAUCGGAUGAUGUUAAUUUUAUAAUGACUCAUUCGGCGCCUUA